RNAcentral lists this small RNA (398 nucleotides) under Arabidopsis thaliana (thale cress). RNAcentral's name for it is "ATSL114180". The record is from RNAcentral. Lineage: Eukaryota; Viridiplantae; Streptophyta; Magnoliopsida; Brassicales; Brassicaceae.
CAGUGGAAAAAAAACUUUGGCGUAUGGCUAAGUAUUUACUAAAGCAUCAUGAGAUUUUGAUCGCGAAUAUAUUACUGUUGGCAAUGAGGCUAUGAAUGGAGGCAGCAGACAAAGAGGUCUAAUUUGUCUGCGGUUUAGUCCAUCUCAUUUUUGGGUGGACAAUAAACUGAUGCGGACCAAAUUUAUUUGUAUAUAAAAACAGUCCGCAGAUGGUCCGAUGCGGUUACGUUUUCUUCUAUUUUUUUUGGUUCAGACCACUACGGAGUAUAAUUGAUGAAUGGUAAAUAAAAGUGGUCUGGUCCGUUGACGGUUUUGUCCGCCCCAACCGUCGCAAUCAUUCAAACCCUGAGUGAAUUAGGAAACAAAAUGCAAAUAGAUGAACAAAUUUAAUAAUAACU